Molecule: transfer RNA, 90 nt
Filed under: Eubacteriales bacterium
Lineage: Bacteria; Bacillati; Bacillota; Clostridia; Eubacteriales
Description: tRNA-Lys
Rfam family: tRNA
About the family: Transfer RNA (tRNA) molecules are approximately 80 nucleotides in length. Their secondary structure includes four short double-helical elements and three loops (D, anti-codon, and T loops).
Source: RNAcentral
GGGUAUGUAGCAAAACGGUUAUGCACCGGUCUUUUAAACCGCGAUACGCAACUAUGCGGAGCAUAGUUUUUCAACAUCCUGUCAUGCCCA